This is a long non-coding RNA of Neopsephotus bourkii (Bourke's parrot), 757 nucleotides long. RefSeq lists it as uncharacterized. NCBI's taxonomy places the organism in Eukaryota, Metazoa, Chordata, Aves, Psittaciformes, Psittacidae. The transcript has 3 exons. The record is from RefSeq and is a predicted model, not a curated record.
UGCCAGCCUCUCCCUCUGCUACCCCCCCACCUCCCAUUCUUCCCGCCGCCGCCUCCCUCAGCGCGGCGGGAUGGGAGGGUGGCUGUUGGGCCGGGGUCCGAGCUGCGCCCGCCCCGGGUAGUGCCGUGAGGGGCCGCUCUGUAGCCGGGCCCUGCCGUUACCUGGGAGAGCCGGGGAAAGAAUCUCAGAGUCUGAACCUUGAGAAACUGUGAUGGAAUGGCAACACAGGAGGAUUUAGUCAACAUCUUUCAUGCAAGGGGUCUUCUCAAGCCUGAUGGACAUGCAACCACCCAGUCUUAGUAUAUUCUUGAUGAUUUUCUAGUAAAAUGCUCAUCAAGUCCUCUGGCUGUGGAGCUAGACUGAGAAUAGAAGGCUCUUGCUCAUCUGGCAUUUGUUAUCUACAGCUGCCUUUCCUCUUUCGUAGGUAUUUCAGGUUAUGGAUAAGCUAGAGGACAAAAGAGAGGUUUUCGUACCACCAGGUUUAAUUUGAAUCUAAAGAACACCAAACAGCCGAGGUCUGAGAGGAACUCGUAGGCUCACAGAAACAUUCUCAUGUCUUUCUGACUGAAUUAAAUGUUGGUCUUUCAAUUACAUCUUGUAUUACAAGCUGCUUGGAAAUCUUUGUAUCUGAUCAUUCUCUCAUUGUGUUGGAAAACAAUAUGUGGGAGUUUCUUUCCAUACUCAAUCUUUGUGGGUUACUUGCUAGUAAACUAAUUUUACAUGACUCAGAUUUAAAUAAUAAAAAGGCUUAACUCCA